GGCAGGGUGGCAGAAAGUUAAUGCACUAAAUUGUAAAUUUAUAAAUAAAGGUUUAAUUCCUUUUCUUGCCACCA
Molecule: transfer RNA, 74 nt
Filed under: Asterias amurensis (Northern Pacific seastar)
Lineage: Eukaryota; Metazoa; Echinodermata; Asteroidea; Forcipulatida; Asteriidae
Description: tdbR00000553
Rfam family: tRNA
About the family: Transfer RNA (tRNA) molecules are approximately 80 nucleotides in length. Their secondary structure includes four short double-helical elements and three loops (D, anti-codon, and T loops).
Source: RNAcentral